AACAUUACGUGGGCAGAUCCAGUUACUUUGAUGAAGUAAAGCGUGAAGAUUAGGCAUUUUCUAGUGUUU
This 69-nucleotide transfer RNA is filed under the name Septifer bilocularis. Its description in RNAcentral is "tRNA-Ile". Lineage: Eukaryota; Metazoa; Mollusca; Bivalvia; Mytilida; Mytilidae. The record is from RNAcentral.